CUCCUGUGUUGUGUUUUUUGUUUGUUAUUACCAACCGUACAAAAACAAUGUCCUCUUGGUUGACCGGUUUCUCUGUAGUUCUAUCCUUAAAUUGCAGUAGCUCUCACAUCGUUUCAAAUUUGUAUAGAUUUUUGAGAGGUUGAAGGCCUUCCUGGGUGGAAGUUCGUCUUUCACUACUUCUCGGCUCUCCAAAAAUGAUUUGUGGUCUUCAUAAAAAAUGUUCUUCAUCUAUAUGAAACCUAUAUUAUAUCAGCCAAAUGUAUUCGCUCUGCUUGUCAGUGAACAAAGUUGUGCGAAAGUGAGAAUGUGUAUAAUAUAGCAAUAUUGUCUGUCACAUGACAUGUACACUUGAAC
Non-coding RNA from Cinara cedri, 354 nucleotides. The record is from the annotation of a GenBank genome assembly. Lineage: Eukaryota; Metazoa; Arthropoda; Insecta; Hemiptera; Aphididae.